AACCAUUCUCUUUGAUUGUAGUCACCUUAAGCUACCAAUUAGCUUAUGAAGGUUUCAUUAUUUCGGGUUAAAUGGUACUUUACCAUUUCCUUGAGUAUAUAUCAUAUAUACACUCAAUGUAGUCAUAAGGAUUUUCAUUCUUAUUUCUUUCGAAUUAAGAGGUGCAACUCUAUGACAUAGUCAUAAAGUUCAAACCAUUCAACUGAGACGGUUUAUAAAUCCUUCUCGACUACCUUGGAGCUUUUGGUAUAGGAGCUAGGUUGUUAUAUUUGUUGAUUAAUUUCUUGUCUCUCAAAGAACCCAUUCUUUGAGUUCUAUCUCUCGUUCAUUUGCUCUUAGGCAAAUCACAUUGUAGGAUUACAAUGAACUACCCAACAAAACAACAUUUGUUAGUUGGUUUAUAGAAGCGAUAUCCAAAAGUUAAUUUAAGGAUAUCCUACAAGAUUGUUAUCAAACAAAUAUUGCUUAUAAGCACACAACCCCAAAUCUUAACAUGCUUAAGAUUUGUCUUUCUUUCCAACUACAUCUUAUGGAGUCAUGAAAAAUUUGGAAGAUCUUCUAAUUGACAAUCAUAUUGUCUUAGAAGUAUAUAUAUCCUAUAUAUGGGUAAUUGAUAAUAUCCAACGAACUAAAUCUUAUUCA
Molecule: long non-coding RNA, 642 nt
Filed under: Malus domestica (apple)
Lineage: Eukaryota; Viridiplantae; Streptophyta; Magnoliopsida; Rosales; Rosaceae
Description: long non-coding RNA (MDOM_LNC019303)
Source: RNAcentral